UGCCUACGGGAGGCAGCAGUGGGGGAUAUUGGACAAUGGGGGAAACCCUGAUCCAGCGAUGCCGCGUGAGGGAAGAAGGUUUUCGGAUUGUAAACCUCUGUGGAGGGGGACGAUAAUGACGGUACCCCUUUAGGAAGCCCCGGCUAACUACGUGCCAGCAGCCGCGGUAAUACGUAGGGGGCAAGCGUUAUCCGGAUUUACUGGGUGUAAAGGGAGCGUAGACGGUAGAGCAAGUCUGAAGUGAAAGCCCGCGGCUCAACUGCGGGACUGCUUUGGAAACUGUUCAACUGGAGUGCUGGAGAGGU
RNAcentral lists this ribosomal RNA (305 nucleotides) under uncultured bacterium. Its description in RNAcentral is "bacterial SSU rRNA". It matches the Rfam family "Bacterial small subunit ribosomal RNA", at positions 335 to 658 of the family's 1533-position model. The record is from RNAcentral.